This 168-nucleotide ribosomal RNA is filed under the name Verticillium dahliae. RNAcentral's name for it is "5.8S ribosomal RNA". The stretch from base 1 to 66 matches the Rfam family "5.8S ribosomal RNA", at positions 89 to 154 of the family's 154-position model. Lineage: Eukaryota; Fungi; Ascomycota; Sordariomycetes; Glomerellales; Plectosphaerellaceae. The record is from RNAcentral.
UCAUCGAAUCUUUGAACGCACAUGGCGCCUUCCAGUAUCCUGGGAGGCAUGCCUGUCCGAGCGUCGUUUCAACCCUCGAGCCCCCGUGGCCCGGCGUUGGGGACCUGCCCAGGCAGUCCCCGAAAACCAGUGGCGGACCCGACGGGCCCUUCCUUUGCGUAGUAACAU